This is a long non-coding RNA of Mytilus californianus (California mussel), 548 nucleotides long. RefSeq lists it as uncharacterized. The transcript has 3 exons. NCBI's taxonomy places the organism in Eukaryota, Metazoa, Mollusca, Bivalvia, Mytilida, Mytilidae. The record is from RefSeq and is a predicted model, not a curated record.
ACUAAUGUCAACACAGGAAGUUGUUCCAAACAGAACUAAUGCAUAUGCAUUGUUUCAUUAAUAUCACCAGACAGGUACUGAAAGAAAUUGCCCUAAGAUAUGGUGCAAAUAUAACAUAGAAGAUAUAGAUUAAUAGUUGAAACAGAAGUUCGCUGCUCUUGGACGAUUCUUCGAAGCAAAGAAUAAAUGUCAUAGAUAAAAUAAAAAAGUUUGAAAUGAAUUGCAUGACAAAUCGACAUUUCAGAUUAGAUGUGUACAAAAACACAAGGAAACAAAACCAAAAAGUUUUAAGUAGAUCUGCUAAUUCUGAACUGUUGCCAGCUGUAUGGUCAUUGAUUAUGUGAAGAGUUGUCAAAGCAUAUAUAUUGUAAAUCUGAUGAAUUUUAGUUUUUAACUAAUUAUUUGUCUGUGUGAUAUACGCAAUUUUGCGAAUGAUCAAAUAUUGUUAUGUCGGCCUCUUUUUCGGACAUGUAUUCAUUAGAAACAUUGCUACAUCAAAAUUAUAAAAUUUCAUUUCAAUUAUAAUAAUAAUAGCAAUAAUAAUAAUA